CUAUGGGUCUGUGGGGUAGAGAGAGGAGAGAAGAGGCUGGUGGGUCUAUGGGUCUAUGGGUCUGUGGGUCUAUGGGUCUAUGGGUCUGUGGGUCUAUGGGUCUGUUCACCAGACUAGGUUCAAAAACGAUUUGAAAUAUUACAAAUACUUUUAGCUGUCCUUGAUUGAGUAGCUCAUUGGACCAAUAGGAUAGUCCCAAAAAUACAUACCACACCCACAUGGCACUCCAGGCAGGCUGUAGCAAACACUCAAAGUAUUUGAAAUAUUUCAGUGAGGUAGCUAGCCCACCUUCCAUAGCGUACAUCCCCUCAGGGUCAGGUCUGGUCUGUGAGGUAGCUAGCCCACCUUCCAUACCAUACAUCCCCUCAGGGUCAGGUCUGGUCAGUGAGGUAGCUAGCCCACCUUCCAUACCAUACAUCCCCUCAGGGUCAGGUCUGGUCAGUGAGGUAGCUAGCCCACCUUCCAUACCAUACAUCCCCUCAGGGUCAGGUCUGGUCAGUGAGGUAGCUAGCCCACCUUCCAUAGCGUACAUCCCCUCAGGGUCUGGUCUGUGAGGUAGCUAGCCCACCUUCCACACCAUACAUCCCCUCAGGGUCAGGUCUGGUCUGUGAGGUAGCUAGCCCACCUUCCAUACCAUACAUCCCCUCAGGGUCAG
Long non-coding RNA from Oncorhynchus tshawytscha (Chinook salmon), 655 nucleotides. The record is from Ensembl. Lineage: Eukaryota; Metazoa; Chordata; Actinopteri; Salmoniformes; Salmonidae.